Small nuclear RNA from Rhinolophus ferrumequinum (greater horseshoe bat), 104 nucleotides. NCBI's taxonomy places the organism in Eukaryota, Metazoa, Chordata, Mammalia, Chiroptera, Rhinolophidae. The record is from Ensembl.
GUACUUGUUUCAAUAGCACAUACAUUAAAAUUGAAAUGAUACAGAGAUUAGCAUGACCCCUGAUCAAGGAUGACAUGCAAAUCUGUGAAGCAUUUGAUAUUUUU